GUAGUCGAUGGACAACCGGUUGAUAUUCCGGUACCCGCUUUGAAGCGCCAGCGCUGAACCUUCUGAUGCUAAGUCCGUGAAGCCGCCGGCUGAGUCUUCGGACGAGGUCGGAGUGGUGGAGCCGACGGCCCGAGGGGGUAGUAGGUGAGUGAUGGGGUGACGCAGGAAGGUAGUCCAGCCCGGGCGGUGGUUGUCCCGGGGUAAGGGUGUAGGACGCCAGGUAGGUAAAUCCGUCUGGCACAUAAGUCUGAGACCUGAUGCCGAGCCGAUUGUGGUGAAGUGGAUGAUCCUAUGCUGUCGAGAAAAGCCUCUAGCGAGUUUCAUGGCGGCCCGUACCCUAAACCGACUCAGGUGGUCAGGUAGAGAAUACCGAGG
This 375-nucleotide ribosomal RNA is filed under the name Streptomyces xinghaiensis. Its description in RNAcentral is "Bacterial large subunit ribosomal RNA". It matches the Rfam family "Bacterial large subunit ribosomal RNA", at positions 1411 to 1686 of the family's 2925-position model. The record is from Rfam by way of RNAcentral. Lineage: Bacteria; Bacillati; Actinomycetota; Actinomycetes; Kitasatosporales; Streptomycetaceae.